AACCAUCCACGUUAAAUUUUUGGACAAUUAGUGUGAAAGAAGCCCAAAUUUCUGAUAUAGAAACUUUUUACAAAGGGUUCAGAUUCGACCCUGAAGACACCAGGAGGGACAAAUAAGUCUCUGUCUGCAGG
Molecule: long non-coding RNA, 131 nt
Organism: Etheostoma cragini (Arkansas darter)
Lineage: Eukaryota; Metazoa; Chordata; Actinopteri; Perciformes; Percidae
Exons: 3
Source: RefSeq, a predicted model, not a curated record